AUCUAUGGCCAUACGACUCUGAACGUGCCCAAUCUCAUCUAAUCUCAGAAGCUAAGCAGGGUUGGGCCUGAUUAGUACUUGAAUGGGAGUUCUGUUCCAUGUCCAGCUAUGCUGAAGUUG
Ribosomal RNA from Saimiri boliviensis boliviensis (Bolivian squirrel monkey), 120 nucleotides. Lineage: Eukaryota; Metazoa; Chordata; Mammalia; Primates; Cebidae. The record is from Ensembl.